GUGGGGAAUAUUGGACAAUGGGGGCAACCCUGAUCCAGCCAUGCCGCGUGAGUGAUGAAGGCCUUAGGGUUGUAAAGCUCUUUCGCCCGCGAAGAUAAUGACUGUAGCGGGAGAAGAAGCCCCGGCUAACUUCGUGCCAGCAGCCGCGGUAAUACGAAGGGGGCUAGCGUUGUUCGGAAUCACUGGGCGUAAAGCGUACGUAGGCGGGCAAUUAAGUCAGGGGUGAAAGCCUUGAGCUCAACUCAAGAACUGCCUUUGAUACUGGUUGCCUGGAGUCCGGGAGAGGUGAGUGGAACUGCUAGUGUAGAGGUGAAAUUCGUAGAUAUUAGCAAGAACACCAGUGGCGAAGGCGGCUCACUGGCCCGGUACUGACGCUGAGGUACGAAAGCGUGGGGAGCAAACAGGAUUAGAAACCCCUGUAGUCC
Molecule: ribosomal RNA, 425 nt
Filed under: uncultured bacterium
Lineage: Bacteria
Description: bacterial SSU rRNA
Rfam family: Bacterial small subunit ribosomal RNA
Source: RNAcentral